Non-coding RNA from Odocoileus virginianus texanus, 750 nucleotides. NCBI's taxonomy places the organism in Eukaryota, Metazoa, Chordata, Mammalia, Artiodactyla, Cervidae. The record is from RefSeq and is a predicted model, not a curated record.
CUGGCCCCGGAACCCACAGCGGCAGGCAGCUGGGGGUGGGGGGGCGGCCCUGGUGUAGGGGCUGUGGCGGUGCCCGGGGACCCGGUGCGGUGGUUGUGGAGCUGACAAGAAACUACUGAAGUUCCUGUGGACGCAAAGUAGAAUUUCAAAAGAACAUGAUGGAUGGAGAAGAGAAAACCUAUGGUGGCUGUGCGGGCCGUGAUGCCAUGUAUGUCAAGUUGAUAUCUUCAGAUGGUCAUGAAUUUAUUGUAAAGAGAGAACACGCGCUAACAUCAGGAACAAUAAAAGCCAUGUUGAGUGGCCCAGGUCAGUUUGCUGAGAAUGAAACUAAUGAAGUCAGUUUUAGAGAGAUCCCUUCACAUGUGCUAUCGAAAGUAUGCAUGUAUUUUACCUACAAGGUUCACUACACUAACAGCUUCACGGAGAUUCCUGAAUUCCCAAUUGCACCUGAAAUUGCACUGGAACUGCUGAUGGCUGCAAACUUCCUAGAUUGUUAAAUAAAAUAAAUUAUAAUAAACUGUUAACUCUUUUUCAGUAUUUAAUACCUGUAGUUCAGUUACUACUUUUUUCAUAUAUAGCAUGUUGCCUAUGUGCAGCUGAACUUUAAAGUUCAUUGCAAAAAAAAAAAAAAAUUCAUUGCAAAGCAGAUUAUCUUCUGUUCUUUUGCAUAGCAAUCAGAGUUGAAGUUUGUUUGCUACAUCAACAAAUUAAGGACAUUUUCACAAAUUGAGAAAUAAACAAAUAUACCAA